UGGUGCAUGGUUGUCGUCAGCUCGUGUCGUGAGAUGUUGGGUUAAGUCCCGCAACGAGCGCAACCCUCGACCUUAGUUGCCAGCAUUCAGUUGGGCACUCUAAUGAGACUGCCGGUGACAAGCCGGAGGAAGGUGGGGAUGACGUCAAGUCCUCAUGGCCCUUAUAGGUGGGCUACACACGUCAUACAAUGGCUGGUACAAAGGGUUGCCAACCCGCGAGGGGGAGCUAAUCCCAUAAAGCCAGUCGUAGUCCGGAUCGUAGUCUGCAACUCGACUACGUGAAGUCGGAAUCGCUAGUAAUCGUGGAUCAGAAUGUCACGGUGAAUACGUUCCCGGGUCUU
Molecule: ribosomal RNA, 341 nt
Filed under: uncultured Rhodoferax sp.
Lineage: Bacteria; Pseudomonadati; Pseudomonadota; Betaproteobacteria; Burkholderiales; Comamonadaceae
Description: bacterial SSU rRNA
Rfam family: Bacterial small subunit ribosomal RNA
Source: RNAcentral